CCUACGGGAGGCAGCAGUGAGGAAUAUUGGUCAAUGGGCGAGAGCCUGAACCAGCCAAGUCGCGUGAGGGAAGACGGUCCUCUGGAUGGUAAACCUCUUUUGUAGGGGAGCAAAAAGGCCUGGUGAGGACACAAGUGAGAGUACCCGAAGAAAAAGCAUCGGCGAAAUCCGUGCCAGCAGCAGCGGUAAUACGGAGGAUGCGAUCGGUAUCCGGAUUUAUUGGGUUUAAAGGUAGCGUAGGGGGAUUGUUAAGGCAGUUGUGAAAGUUUGCGGCUCAACCGUAAAAUUGCAGUUGAAACUGGCAGUCUUGAGUACAGUAGAGGUGAGCGGAAUUCGUGGUGUAGCGGUGAAAUGCUUAGAUAUCACGAAGAACCCCGAUGGCGAAGGCAGCUUACUAACCUGUGACUGACAUUGAUGCUCGAAAGUGUGGGUAUCAAACAGGAUUAGAUACCCCGGUAGUC
This 461-nucleotide ribosomal RNA is filed under the name uncultured bacterium. RNAcentral describes it as "partial 16S ribosomal RNA". It matches the Rfam family "Bacterial small subunit ribosomal RNA", at positions 338 to 795 of the family's 1533-position model. The record is from RNAcentral.